UCAAAACACCAAUUCCUGUAUGAUCACUGAAGUUAAGCAAUGUGGAGCCUGGUCAGUACCUAGAUGGGUGACUGCUUGAGAAUGCUAGAUGCUGUAAG
Acanthosepion pharaonis is the source of this 98-nucleotide non-coding RNA. Lineage: Eukaryota; Metazoa; Mollusca; Cephalopoda; Sepiida; Sepiidae. The record is from the annotation of a GenBank genome assembly.